UGGAAGUAAAAAAGUCGUAACAAGGUCUCCGUAGGUGAACCUGCGGAGGGAUCAUUACACAAAUAUGAAGGCGGGCUGGAACCUCUCGGGGUUACAGCCUUGCUGAAUUAUUCACCCUUGUCUUUUGCGUACUUCUUGUUUCCUUGGUGGGUUCGCCCACCACUAGGACAAACAUAAACCUUUUGUAAUUGCAAUCAGCGUCAGUAACAAAUUAAUAAUUACAACUUUCAACAACGGAUCUCUUGGUUCUGGCAUCGAUGAAGAACGCAGCGAAAUGCGAUAAGUAGUGUGAAUUGCAGAAUUCAGUGAAUCAUCGAAUCUUUGAACGCACAUUGCGCCCUUUGGUAUUCCAAAGGGCAUGCCUGUUCGAGCGUCAUUUGUACCCUCAAGCUUUGCUUGGUGUUGGGCGUCUUGUCUCUAGCUUUGCUGGAGACUCGCCUUAAAGUAAUUGGCAGCCGGCCUACUGGUUUCGGAGCGCAGCACAAGUCGCACUCUCUAUCAGCAAAGGUCUAGCAUCCAUUAAGCCUUUUUUCAACUUUUGACCUCGGAUCAGGUAGGGAUACCCGCUGAACUUAAGCAUAUCAAUAGGCGGGAGGAA
Molecule: ribosomal RNA, 598 nt
Filed under: Alternaria alternata
Lineage: Eukaryota; Fungi; Ascomycota; Dothideomycetes; Pleosporales; Pleosporaceae
Description: eukaryotic LSU rRNA
Rfam family: 5.8S ribosomal RNA (bases 223-376)
Source: RNAcentral